This is an RNA transcript of Solenopsis invicta (red fire ant), 989 nucleotides long. It is a transcript of the gene named THO complex subunit 7 homolog, with no coding region annotated. The record is from RefSeq and is a predicted model, not a curated record. NCBI's taxonomy places the organism in Eukaryota, Metazoa, Arthropoda, Insecta, Hymenoptera, Formicidae. The transcript is spliced from 5 exons.
UUCUAGCCGUAACACCACGCUGACCACACUAUUGUAAGAUGGCGCAUUUCGUCGAUGCAAUCGAUGCAAUCGUGUAAACAUUCAAUUUUACUUUCUUGGUUAUAAUUAAUAUAAAUACACGUUUAAUAAUGUCAGAUGAGGAAGUAAUACGCCGGCGAUUGCUCAUAGACGGCGAUGGAACCGGAGACGAUCGUAGGAUCAAUAUGUUAUUGAAAUCAUUUAUAAAAUGGAUUAAUAGUUCUGACAUGGAUAAUACUGUACACGAAAGAACGUUGUCUUCACAGUUGGCACAGUGCGAAUUUGCACAGAAAAAGUCUAGACUAGUCUCAAAUAUGAGUCGAGAUGAGUUAAAAAGCUAUGAACAGCUGUCGAAGGAAAUCGAAAUACAAAUAGAAAAGGCCAAGGAAGACAUAGAAAAAACCAAGGCAGAACUGCAGGAUGCCAAACGUGUGAGGAAAAAUAGAAUUGAGUAUGAUGUAUUAGCUAAAGUCAUUAAUGAGCAACCAGACCGAUUGGAAACACACAUCAAGCUUGAUACAUUGCAACAAGAGUUAGGCGCUUUAAAGGAGAAGUCAGAACAAUUGGAACACAAAUUAGAAAUGCGUCGUAAACAAUUCCAUGUUUUAAUAUCCUCCAUACACUCUCUGCAAGGAAUGUUAGAUGAGGGUAAUGAAGAAAUAAUGGAUGUGAGCUUUGAGAAUGGUACAGAAGGCUCAGAUGUGCAAAUAUUAUGUGACAACUUAUAAAUUUGCUGGUUUUUGGUACAUGUCUAAUAGUUAAGGACACUCUAGUGCCACGUUUUAUUAUUUGUUUAUCUGUAAAAUUUUCUGCACACAUGUGUAGAUUUUUUAUUGAAGAUCCCAAUAUGCUAUCUGCAUCUCUUUCCGCUAUGGAAUGCAAAUAAUUAUGUAUUUACCUCUGUCGUUUCGAGUCGUUUGUAAAAGUCAAGUAGUGUAUGGGAACCACAGCUGAUAGUUGUUACAACAGGA